ACUCCUACGGGAGGCAGCAGUGGGGAAUCUUCCACAAUGGACGCAAGUCUGAUGGAGCAACGCCGCGUGAGUGAAGAAGGUUUUCGGAUCGUAAAGCUUUGUUGUUGGUGAAGAAGGAUAGAGGUAGUAACUGGCCUUUAUUUGACGGUAAUCAACCAGAAAGUCAUGGCUAACUACGUGCCAGCAGCCGCGGUAAUAC
RNAcentral lists this ribosomal RNA (199 nucleotides) under uncultured bacterium. RNAcentral's name for it is "partial 16S ribosomal RNA". It matches the Rfam family "Bacterial small subunit ribosomal RNA", at positions 335 to 526 of the family's 1533-position model. The record is from RNAcentral.